GAUGAACGCUGGCGGCGUGCCUAAUACAUGCAAGUCGAGCGAAUGGAUUAAGAGCUUGCUCUUAUGAAGUUAGCGGCGGACGGGUGAGUAACACGUGGGUAACCUGCCCAUAAGACUGGGAUAACUCCGGGAAACCGGGGCUAAUACCGGAUAACAUUUUGAACCGCAUGGUUCGAAAUUGAAAGGCGGCUUCGGCUGUCACUUAUGGAUGGACCCGCGUCGCAUUAGCUAGUUGGUGAGGUAACGGCUCACCAAGGCAACGAUGCGUAGCCGACCGGAGAGGAUGAGCGGCCACACUGGAACUGGGACACGGCCCAGACUCCUACGGGAGGCAGCAGUAGGGAAUCUUCCGCAAUGGACGAAAGUCUGACGGGGCAACGCCGCGUGGGUGAUGAAGGCUUUCGGGUCGAAAAACUCGUUUUUUAGGGAAGAACAAGUGCUAGUUGAAUAAGCUGGCACCUUGACGGUACCUAACCAGAAAGCCACGGCUAACUACGUGCCAGCCGCCGCGGUAA
RNAcentral lists this ribosomal RNA (515 nucleotides) under uncultured bacterium. RNAcentral describes it as "partial 16S ribosomal RNA". It matches the Rfam family "Bacterial small subunit ribosomal RNA", at positions 28 to 523 of the family's 1533-position model. The record is from RNAcentral.